GAUGAAGAACGCAGCGAAAUGCGAUAAGUAAUGUGAAUUGCAGAAUUCAGUGAAUCAUCGAAUCUUUGAACGCACAUUGCGCCCGCCAGUAUUCUGGCGGGCAUGCCUGUUCGAGCGUCAUUUCAACCCUCAAGCCCCCGGGCUUGGUGUUGGGGAUCGGCGUGCCCUCGCGGCGCGCCGUCCCCUAAAUCUAGUGGCGGUCUCGCUGUAGCUUCCUCUGCGUAGUAGCAACACUCGCACUGGAUCGCAGCGCGGCCACGCCGUUAAACCCCCCACUUCUGAAAGUUUGACCUCGGAUCAGGUAGGAAUACCCGCUGAACUUAAGCAUAUCAAAGCGGAGGA
This 342-nucleotide unclassified non-coding RNA is filed under the name soil metagenome. Its description in RNAcentral is "partial contains 5.8S ribosomal RNA, internal transcribed spacer 2, and large subunit ribosomal RNA". The stretch from base 1 to 120 matches the Rfam family "5.8S ribosomal RNA", at positions 35 to 154 of the family's 154-position model. The record is from RNAcentral.